GGCUGAUUAGGUAGUUGGCGGGGUAAAGGCCCACCAAGCCUUCGAUCAGUAGCUGAUGUGAGAGCAUGAUCAGCCACACGGGCACUGAGACACGGGCCCGACUCCUACGGGAGGCAGCAGUAAGGAAUAUUGGUCAAUGGACGCAAGUCUGAACCAGCCAUGCCGCGUGAAGGAUGAAGGUCCUCUGGAUUGUAAACUUCUUUUAUAGGGGGCGAAAAAAGGUCUUUCUAGAUCACUUGACAGUACCCUAUGAAUAAGCACCGGCUAACUCCGUGCCAGCAGCCGCGGUAAUACGGAGGGUGCAAGCGUUAUCCGGAUUCACUGGGUUUAAAGGGUGCGUAGGCGGGCAUUUAAGUCAGUGGUGAAAUCCUG
RNAcentral lists this ribosomal RNA (372 nucleotides) under Paraphysomonas vestita. RNAcentral's name for it is "partial Bacterial small subunit ribosomal RNA". It matches the Rfam family "Bacterial small subunit ribosomal RNA", at positions 235 to 604 of the family's 1533-position model. Lineage: Eukaryota; Chrysophyceae; Chromulinales; Paraphysomonadaceae. The record is from RNAcentral.